UCGUGGAGUGAUUUGUCUGCUCAAUUGCGAUAACGAACGAGACCUUAACCUACUAAAUAGCCAGGCUAGCUUUGGCUGGUCGCCGGCUUCUUAGAGGGACUUUCGGCUCAAGCCGAAGGAAGUUUGAGGCAAUAACA
Molecule: ribosomal RNA, 137 nt
Filed under: uncultured eukaryote
Lineage: Eukaryota
Description: partial 18S ribosomal RNA
Rfam family: Eukaryotic small subunit ribosomal RNA
Source: RNAcentral